Molecule: long non-coding RNA, 758 nt
Organism: Fundulus heteroclitus (mummichog)
Lineage: Eukaryota; Metazoa; Chordata; Actinopteri; Cyprinodontiformes; Fundulidae
Exons: 2
Source: RefSeq, a predicted model, not a curated record
CUGGAAAAGAAAUGUGGCAGCUCUCAUUUCCAAAGGCAAAAAAAGGAGAACCAGUAGCCAAACAAGUUAAAGUCCCUUGUACUUAUGCAUACAUUGAUGAGUUGUUGGAUGAAGUAAUGGCUCGUCGGGAGGCCAUACCUUCUUAUGAAGUUGCAAGGCAAGAUUUAGAAGCCCAAAUUGCUCCUGAAUACGUGAAAGACCAAUAUGACAAGGUCGAUAAACUCACAGUUGUGGCAACUAGGAAGUCGAGGUUCACACAGUUGGGUAUUUAAAACCAGUGUAGUCUGCUGACUCCCAGGUCUCUCUUAUUUUAUUUACUGCACAGGAUGGAAGAACUUUCCUAUUUCCUUUUCCAAUGCGUCCCCAAAUCCAUCUGAUCAUUCUUCUAUAUGCAAUGUACCUGUAAAUCCUAAAAUAGAAAGAAAAUAUGAUGCAAAAAGUGUUUAGACCUGUAAUAAAAUUUCAAAAUUAUUGUAAUGCUGUUUUAAACUAUAGGCCCUACUUAAGUGAUAUGUUCUGAAUGCAAUUGAUGUUAUAUUUGUUUGCUAAGUACAUGUAAAUGAUUGUUUUUGUGUUUUACUAAAGCAAUGUAGUUAUAUUUCAAUGUUUUUUGCUGUUUCUAAAUAAAAUAUAUAGGCCUAUGGUGCAGAAACAACUGCAUUUAAUUUACAGUAAAAUAACUACAUCACAGGUGCAUACAGUGUAGGACUAGAAUUUAGCACUAAUACAUGUAUUUUCAAUAAACAAUUUUUCAACUA